Rhineura floridana is the source of this 1386-nucleotide long non-coding RNA. RefSeq lists it as uncharacterized. The transcript is spliced from 2 exons. NCBI's taxonomy places the organism in Eukaryota, Metazoa, Chordata, Lepidosauria, Squamata, Rhineuridae. The record is from RefSeq and is a predicted model, not a curated record.
GGUGCCAGAGAGAAAGCACGUGAGCUUCGCCUUCUGUGGCUCUGUGAUAUGGAAAAAUAAGAGCAGAGCCCCAAAAAGAUAGGAACAUCUGACAAGCAACCCUGGCGCGCCGAUUAGAAAGCAGAGCGGUCUGUAACAACUACGCAGUCAGAGCGAUUUUCAAGGAGGGCUCAGAGGAAGGGGCUGGUUUUGGACUGCGGCGACUUCCUGCAGCAUUCCCGGCUCACAAACGGAUUCAGGAUGAGCAAACAGGACGGGUAAAUAAUGCAACUCAUUCGCUAAGGGGAGAGAAAGUUACCCAACGAGCCAACAGCAGCCUCCCUUCUCCUCGUCCCAGCACACCCCCAACGGGUUGUUCUGGAUUUGCAAGGGACUCAGUGGUAACAUGCAAGAUCAAAAAGAGAAAAACAUAACAGGCAUGGAAAGUUAAAGAACGAGAGUCCAAGUGAAAUUUAAGCCACGGAUUGAACUUUUUCUCCUCUUCUUAUCACACUAAAACCUGAGUUCAACCACUGAAAUUGACUGGCAAAAGAUUCAGGGCAGACAAAAGGGGGUACUUCUUCUCAUGACACAUAAUUCAUUGAUGGAAUCCAUUGCCACCAGGUGUGGAGAUGGCCAUGAGCUUGGACGGUGUUAAAAAGAGAAGUAGGCUGCAUUCCUUACACUUACCUGUGAUGGGAGUAAGUCCCAUCAUAUUCAGUGGGACUUACUUCUACAUAGACAUUAUAGACAUGUUAAUAAAAGAUAGGUCUAUCAAUGGUUAUUUAGUUAUGGGGGCUAAAUAGGACCUCAGAGUUCAGAGGCAGAAUAACAGUUGCUGGAGGACACAUGGCAAGGAAGGGCUGUUGCUUUCAUGUCGUGAAUUAGGCUUCCCAAAAACAUCUGGCUGGCAACUAUGGGAAAUAAAACACUGGACUAGAUGUCUGUCUAGCAGGGCUCUUUCUACAUUUUGUAACCAUAUCACUGGAUAGAUCAUAUAUUACAUUUGUAUCUCACUCUUCCUCUAAUGAGCUAUGGGUAAUGUACAUAGGUUGCCCCCAUUUUAUUUUCAAACCCACCCUAUGAGGUAGGUUAGGCUGAGCAGCAGUGACUGGCCCAAAGUCCCUGAUGAGUUUCACAACUGAGCGGGGAUUUGAACUCAGGUCUCUACAACAACCUUUCCCAACCUUUGGAUCCCCAUAUGUUGUUGGACUACUCCCAUUAACCCUAGCCAGCAUGCCCAACGGUCAGGGAUGAUGGGAGCUAGAGCCUAACAACAUCUGGAGAGCCACAGAUUCCCCAUUCCUUGCCCUAGGUAUUCCUCCACAUUGGUUUUCUAUGCAACAAUUGCAGUUACCAUGUAAAACCAUCAAAUCGUAAUGAUUAAAUGAAAAGUAUUUUAAAAUC